UGCCUCAGUAACGGCGAGUGAAGCGGCAACAGCUCAAAUUUGAAAUCUGGCCGUUCGGCGGUCCGAGUUGUAAUUUGUAGAGGAUGCUUCGGGUGCGGCGCCGGUCUAAGUUCCUUGGAACAGGACGUCAGAGAGGGUGAGAAUCCCGUAUGUGACCGGUGACCCAGCCCGUGUGAAGCUCCUUCGACGAGUCGAGUUGUUUGGGAAUGCAGCUCUAAAUGGGUGGUAAAUUUCAUCUAAAGCUAAAUACCGGCCAGAGACCGAUAGCGCACAAGUAGAGUGAUCGAAAGAUGAAAAGCACUUUGGAAAGAGAGUUAAAAAGUACGUGAAAUUGUUGAAAGGGAAGCGCUUGUGACCAGACUUGCUCGCGGGCGAUCAGCCGUCCUUCUGGGCGGUGCACUCGCCCGUGAUCAGGCCAGCAUCGGUUCGGGCGGCCGGAUAACGGCCCCGGGAAUGUGGCUCCCCUCGGGGAGUGUUAUAGCCCGGGGCGCAAUGCGGCCCGCCGGGACCGAGGACCGCGCUUCGGCUAGGAUGCUGGCGUAAUGGUCGUAAGCGACCCGUCUUGAAACACGGACCAAGGAGUCUAACAUCUGUGCGAGUGUUUGGGUGUCAAACCCAUGCGCGGAAUGAAAGUGAACGGAGGUGGGAACCCUUCAGGGUGCACCAUCGACCGAUCCUGAUGUCUUCGGAUGGAUUUGAGUAAGAGCAUAGCUGUUGGGACCCGAAAGAUGGUGAACUAUGCCUGAAUAGGGUGAAGGCCAGAGGAAACUCUGGUGGAGGCUCGCA
RNAcentral lists this ribosomal RNA (786 nucleotides) under Umbilicaria cylindrica. Its description in RNAcentral is "eukaryotic LSU rRNA". It matches the Rfam family "Eukaryotic large subunit ribosomal RNA", at positions 76 to 879 of the family's 3401-position model. Lineage: Eukaryota; Fungi; Ascomycota; Lecanoromycetes; Umbilicariales; Umbilicariaceae. The record is from RNAcentral.